Molecule: long non-coding RNA, 1581 nt
Filed under: Brassica napus (rape)
Lineage: Eukaryota; Viridiplantae; Streptophyta; Magnoliopsida; Brassicales; Brassicaceae
Description: long non-coding RNA (BNAP_LNC012593)
Source: RNAcentral
GCCAACUUCAGAAACGAGUCAUUCUCAGAAGCCUCCGUAUAGGACAUCUUCCAAUCUUGCAGAAGAUCCAUUUGUGGUCUUGGAGACUGCUUCUACCCCUAGAGAACCUCCUCCCUCAGGAGGGUACACUGAUCCUUUGGAUGAUAUUGGUCUUUUCAACAGCAGAAAGACUGAUCAUUCUUUUGCUGAUAUUGACCCUCUCGAUAGUCUUGGAAAAUCAGGGCCAGAUAUGAGUAGUAGAGACAAAAGUCACCUGAGACCAGGCAACGGCAGUGGCUCUCAGUCACCGGUGGAGAGUUCCCACACUGGGAGUUACCAUGGUAAGAAAGUUUCUUUCGAUGAAGUCUUGGAGCCGCAGAGUACUUCUGUUCCUCAUGCUACUGCUCCACUGUAUGAAAACAAAUCACUCAAUUCAGAUGGAAGUUUUGACUUAUCUGAUGAUGUCUGGCUUACUGUGUCUGAGAUCCCUCUAUUUACGCAGCCUACGAGUGCUCCCCCACCUUCCAGACCUCCACCGCCCAGACCUACACGUCCCAUGAAAAGAAGGGAAGGAGAGAGAGUUAUUUUCGAUUUCUAAUAUUGGAGAGAGACCCACCCAUCAUACUCAGAUCUGACGACGAUAAUCUGUUGGAUCUGCGAUUUGGGGGUGUGAAAAAUCCAAUUCCAAGUAAUCGAUGGACGAUUUCUCAGGCCUUUUAGGUUUGAAGCCGCAGGGAAAAUCAGCUCCGAUGGCGCCGUCUUCGUCGUCCCCAGCAAGGAACAAGUCCGAUUCAUCGCCUCUCUUCGACGAUCUGAGCGGUGGCGACGAUCUCCUCUUCAGCGAUUCGCGAUCUCAGACUAAGCCCUCUGAUUUUGACUACGAUGCGAUGUUCAAGGAUCCCAAACCUGUGUACGACAAGCCUGUGUACGACGAGGAGGACGUCUUCGAAUCGCUUAAAACCCCGCCGGGCUCUCAAUCGGCUAGGUUUGAUGACCUUUUCUCCUCGCAUUCGGUGCACAGGAAGAACAACUCCUCUCCUUUCGAUGACCUGAUUGGGAAUCUGAGCAAGCCGGAGAGAAAACGAGAUGAGAAAGGUAGCUCGGCUUUUGAUGACUUGAUUCCUGGGUUUGGUCGCGCUAGCUCCCCUCCAGCUAAACGGUAGCGUUUCGUUCCUCUUCUUUUAUGUGCUUGUCUAGAGCUAUUUGCUACUGAGAUUCUCCAGUGAAUUGUAGCUUUAACCUACUUGGAGCGAACUUGCAGAUAUCGUAGAAAAUUUUACUAAAGGUUGAACCUUUUGAAUUUUUGAUAGUAAAAGUAGUCAUUCAUAUUGUUUUUCUUUUUUUUGCUCAGGCCAACUUCAGAAACGAGUCAUUCUCAGAAGCCUCCGUAUAGGACAUCUUCCAAUCUUGCAGAAGAUCCAUUUGUGGUCUUGGAGACUGCUUCUACCCCUAGAGAACCUCCUCCCUCAGGAGGGUACACUGAUCCUUUGGAUGAUAUUGGUCUUUUCAACAGCAGAAAGACUGAUCAUUCUUUUGCUGAUAUUGACCCUCUCGAUAGUCUUGGAAAAUCAGGGCCAGAUAUGAGUAGUAGAGACAAAAGUC